RNAcentral lists this microRNA precursor (89 nucleotides) under Apis mellifera (honey bee). RNAcentral's name for it is "microRNA ame-mir-316 precursor". Its record names the gene ame-mir-316. The record is from miRBase by way of RNAcentral. Lineage: Eukaryota; Metazoa; Arthropoda; Insecta; Hymenoptera; Apidae.
GUGUGGCCGAGGGUGUGUCUUUUUCCGCUUUGCUGCCGCUGAAAUGGAGUCCGCCAGCAAAGGGGAACAGGCCGACCCUCCCGCACCAA